This 774-nucleotide non-coding RNA is filed under the name Limenitis jina (Bhutan sargeant). The record is from RNAcentral. Lineage: Eukaryota; Metazoa; Arthropoda; Insecta; Lepidoptera; Nymphalidae.
GAUAAAUUUUUUAUAUUUUUAAUAAUUUAUUAUAAAUUUAUUUUACAUGUAAAUUUUAGUAUGAAAUUUUAAUUAUUUUAAUAAUAAUUAAUUUAAAUUUACAGUAAUUAAAAUUAAAAAUUUAAGAAAUUAAGAUUUAGUAAUAUUUAAAUUAAUAACUAAUUUUGUGCCAGCAGUUGCGGUUAAACAAAAAUUAAAUUAAAUUAUUUCAGUAUAUAAUAAAUAAUGAAUAAUUAAAUUAAAUAUUAAAUUAUUAAGUGAAAUUUUAAUUUAAUUAAAAAUUAUUUUAAAAUUAUGAUUUAAUAAAUUUUAUUAUAAACUAGGAUUAGAUACCCUAUUAUUAAAAAUUUAAUUAAAAAUACUAAAAUAGUAAAUAAAAUAUUAUUGAAACUUAAAUAAUAUGGCGGUAUUUUAGUUCAUUUAGAGGAAUCUGUCUAAUAAUUGAUAAUCCACGAAUAAAUUUACUUAAUUUAUAAUUUUGUAUAUCAUUGUUAAAAAAAUAUUUUUUAAUAAAAAUAAUAUUUUAAAAUUUAAAAUAAAAUUUAAUUCAGAUCAAGAUGCAGAUUAUAAUUAAGUUUAAGAUGGAUUACAAUAAAUAUAUUUAAAUGGAAAGAAUUUUGUAAAAUUUAAUUGAAGGUGGAUUUAAAUGUAAUUUUAAUUAGUUUAUUAAAAUGAUUAAAAAUUGAAAUAUGUACAUAUUGCCCGUCACUUUCAUUUAAAAAUUGAAAUAAGUCGUAACAAAGUAGAGGUACUGGAAAGUGUUUCUAGAAUGAA